CCUACGGGAGGCAGCAGUGGGGGAUAUUGCACAAUGGGCGAAACUCUGAUGCAGCGACGCCGCGUGGGCGAAGAAGUCUUUCGGUAUGUAAAGCUCUAUCAGUAGGGAAGAAGAAAUGACGGUACCUGAGUAAGAAGCACCGGCUAAAUACGUGCCAGCAGCCGCGGUAAUACGUAGGGUGCAGGCGUUAUCCGGAUUUACUGGGUGUAAAGGGAGCGCAGGCGGAAAGGCAAGCCUGAUGUGAAAGCCCGCGGCUCAACCGCGGGACUGCAUUUGGAACUAGCGGGCUGGAGUGCCGGAGAGGUAGGCGGAAUUCCUGGUGUAGCGGUGAAAUGCGUAGAUAUUAGGAAGAACACCAGUGGCGAAGGCGGCCUACUGGACGGUAACUGACGCUGAGGCUCGAAAGCGUGGGGAGCAAACAGGAUUAGAUACCCCAGUAGUC
This 442-nucleotide ribosomal RNA is filed under the name uncultured bacterium. Its description in RNAcentral is "partial 16S ribosomal RNA". It matches the Rfam family "Bacterial small subunit ribosomal RNA", at positions 338 to 795 of the family's 1533-position model. The record is from RNAcentral.